This is a long non-coding RNA of Suricata suricatta (meerkat), 694 nucleotides long. RefSeq lists it as uncharacterized. Lineage: Eukaryota; Metazoa; Chordata; Mammalia; Carnivora; Herpestidae. The transcript is spliced from 4 exons. The record is from RefSeq and is a predicted model, not a curated record.
ACCAUGCUAGGUACUGUGGGGAUAGAAAGGAGAGAGAGUACGGCUCCUGCCUUCACAGAAUGGUUCACACAAGACCCAAAGUGGAAAGUGUUCUACUGGAGGCUCUCAGAGGAGGGACCAUCUGAGUCCAAGUGGGGUGGUGUCAGCAGACGUCACAAAGGCUGUGUUUGUGACGUUCACACUGGCCCUUUUUAGGCGUAGACGUGGGAGACAAGGAAAUUUAAAUCUAAAAAAAUCAUAAGAACAGGAAGUGAAGAAAGUCCAUGGUGCUCAGGAACUGUGGAAUUGGCACUCAAUAUUUACUGAAGCACAAAAAAAGGAAAGGAGAGAAGGAAGAGAAGAACUUGUUCUGGACUUUGAAAGGCAGAAGUACGUUGUACAGGCAGAAGAAACAUGAAGAUGACAAUUAGCAACUUAUAAUUGAGAGACCGUUGUGUGAACUUCUAAGUCUAGCGCUGGAGAUGCCUGGCAGCUUUUACUCUUGCCCUGUUGGAAAUCUACACCCGCUAAGUGAAGAAGACUGAGGUCAUCUGGAGACACAGAUGACAGAUGACAACCAGCACUACACCCUAGAGAUGUGAAUGAGGCCACCUUACACCAUUCAGCUCUAGUUACGUCACCAGAUGACCAGAGGGAGUCACAUGAGGGACCCAAGUUACAGUAAAACCUUGGAUUGCAAGUAACAUGUUCUGUG